Molecule: ribosomal RNA, 398 nt
Filed under: uncultured bacterium
Lineage: Bacteria
Description: bacterial SSU rRNA
Rfam family: Bacterial small subunit ribosomal RNA
Source: RNAcentral
AUUGAACGCUGGCGGCAUGCCUUACACAUGCAAGUCGAACGGCAGCACGGGAGCAAUCCUGGUGGCGAGUGGCGAACGGGUGAGUAAUAUAUCGGAACGUGCCCGGUCGUGGGGGAUAACGUAGCGAAAGCUACGCUAAUACCGCAUACGAUCUACGGAUGAAAGCGGGGGAUCGCAAGACCUCGCGCGAUUGGAGCGGCCGAUAUCAGAUUAGGUAGUUGGUGAGGUAAAGGCUCACCAAGCCGACGAUCUGUAGCUGGUCUGAGAGGACGACCAGCCACACUGGGACUGAGACACGGCCCAGACUCCUACGGGAGGCAGCAGUGGGGAAUUUUGGACAAUGGGCGCAAGCCUGAUCCAGCAAUGCCGCGUGCAGGAUGAAGGCCUCGGGUUGUAAC